GGAGAAGCAACACAUGAAAUACACGUUCCUCCUCACAAAAUUGAACUUCUUUUUUCUUGUAACAUUAAUUUUUCAUGUUCUAAUUGUCCAUGGCUUCCAAAUUGAUACUCAGGCACGUAGAUUAAUGUCGUGGCGUCGUUCGAAAAUACGUUCUCGGUGGAUUAAUUCUUAUCAGGAUGAAACAUGGUCGACUGAAAAAAUUGUAUUUGAUUCUGAUGAUGAUGAAGAAGAAUUACAUGUUGGAAAUAUGGAGGAUGAUUUGAUAAAAUAUGGUCUUCCAGGACAACCAAAAUUAAAUGUGAAGUUUAAUCAGUAUGCAGGUUAUGUUAAUGUUGAUGAAAAGAAUGGAAGAAGUCUUUUUUAUUACUUUGCUGAAUCUGCUUCUGGAAAUGCUUCUUCUAAACCACUUGUUCUUUGGCUAAAUGGAGGUCCAGGAUGUUCAUCAUUAGGUUUUGGGGCCAUGCUAGAGCUUGGCCCUUUUGGUGUAAACCUGAUGGUAAAACCCUUUAUUCCAGAACAUUUGCUUGGAACAAAGUUGCAAAUGUGAUGUUCCUAGAGUCAC
This 562-nucleotide unclassified non-coding RNA is filed under the name Hevea brasiliensis (rubber tree). Lineage: Eukaryota; Viridiplantae; Streptophyta; Magnoliopsida; Malpighiales; Euphorbiaceae. The record is from RNAcentral.